AUACUACUCCCUUGGUCCGAAAAAGCUUGUCCCAUGCUUGUUCCUCAAAUGGAUGAAUCUAGCACUAACUUGAUGCUAGAUACAUUUAUUUAAGGGACAAGUUUUUCCUGACAAAGGGAAUAUCAA
Non-coding RNA from Triticum aestivum (bread wheat), 126 nucleotides. The record is from Rfam. NCBI's taxonomy places the organism in Eukaryota, Viridiplantae, Streptophyta, Magnoliopsida, Poales, Poaceae.